Molecule: ribosomal RNA, 466 nt
Filed under: Vreelandella stevensii
Lineage: Bacteria; Pseudomonadati; Pseudomonadota; Gammaproteobacteria; Oceanospirillales; Halomonadaceae
Description: partial 16S ribosomal RNA
Rfam family: Bacterial small subunit ribosomal RNA
Source: RNAcentral
CCUACGGGGGGCAGCAGUGGGGAAUAUUGGACAAUGGGCGAAAGCCUGAUCCAGCCAUGCCGCGUGUGUGAAGAAGGCCUUCGGGUUGUAAAGCACUUUCAGUGGGGAAGAAAGCCUUGGGGCUAAUACCCUCGAGGAAGGACAUCACCCACAGAAGAAGCACCGGCUAACUCCGUGCCACGCAGCCGCGGUAAUACGGAGGGUGCGAGCGUUAAUCGGAAUUACUGGGCGUAAAGCGCGCGUAGGCGGUCUGAUAAGCCGGUUGUGAAAGCCCCGGGCUCAACCUGGGAACGGCAUCCGGAACUGUCAGGCUAGAGUGCAGGAGAGGAAGGUAGAAUUCCCGGUGUAGCGGUGAAAUGCGUAGAGAUCGGGAGGAAUACCAGUGGCGAAGGCGGCCUUCUGGACUGACACUGACGCUGAGGUGCGAAAGCGUGGGUAGCAAACAGGAUUAGAUACCCGGGUAGUC